CAAAUUCAAGCCAUUUGAGAAAAAGUUGGAGACACUCUUUAUGGACCCUAGAAUGCCUCUGGGCUCCACCCCUGUUCCAUUCUCCUCUCCACCCAUUCAUCCAGGUGCUGUGCGUCCUGGAAAGCUUCAGCGUGGCCUGCAGUCAAGCACAGGGAAGUCCCCUCGUGUUCUCCUGGUCUGCUGGGGAGCACCAGAGCCAUUCUUUGAAGGCAGGAGCAGAGAACUGCGCUUGAUUUUGGGCUCGUCCUCUACACCUCCUCCAUUUCUCCCCGAAUUGGAGGCUCUCCUUCAGGGGUCACAUGUGUUCCAGUUUGUGGCAAAUGGUGUUCCACGCUGUGUUUCCAGCAAGCUGUGGCAGGAAUCAGCCUUCUAGACCAUAGGGACAUAAGGACGAAAGAAGAAGGGAAAGGUCAUUUCUCCAGGGGAAAAGCAAUAAUUUCAUGCAAAUGUGAAGAAAAACAGUAUGUUGAUGGUUGUUGUUGUUUUCUGUAGUGCAAAAUAAAAAGAGAAAAGAAAAAAACA
Molecule: long non-coding RNA, 522 nt
Filed under: Ursus maritimus (polar bear)
Lineage: Eukaryota; Metazoa; Chordata; Mammalia; Carnivora; Ursidae
Description: lncRNA (ENSUMAG00000020137.1)
Source: RNAcentral